AAAAGGAUACAAUUUUUAGGGAAUGGGAAAAAACAUGAAAGAAGACACGUUUCCACACAGCGGAAUAGAAAAUACAAACUCCUGGGUGCUUCUUCUAUCAGCCUUCGCCUUCUCAGCUUCGUCCACAUCUUAUAUUUGUUACAUCCGUUGACUUUCAAACUGCGCCUUAGAUGCAACCUCCCAAAUCGAUCAAUUUCUUGCUCAAUUUGCUUCAAUUCUUCUUACGAAAGUAAGCAAAUCAAGCUUUUUACCGACCCCCAAAGGAUAAUGGAUUGAAUUAGAUAAGCAUAUAUUUUAUUCAACACAUAAAUAUGGUUCAUAUAUAAUUGACUCGGGAUCAAUAGACGAAGGAAAGG
RNAcentral lists this long non-coding RNA (356 nucleotides) under Capsicum annuum. RNAcentral's name for it is "long non-coding RNA (CANN_LNC020518)". Lineage: Eukaryota; Viridiplantae; Streptophyta; Magnoliopsida; Solanales; Solanaceae. The record is from RNAcentral.